CACACGUGAAAAAUAUGCGAGUUGAUGAAUCACCUACUUACUUGAAAACAAAGGGAUAAGACUAUAUCAAACAAGCGUGUCACAUGGAAAACCAAGUAUUAUACAUUUCCUAAGGUCUGUCUCUGGCAAUUAAUGACAUAAAAUCGAAAGUGACACAGCUAAUUAAGCCAUGAUACGCUCAUUUACGUACAUUCCCAUUACUUACCAUUGAGUCCGCCAUAUUGGAUUUUGAUCAGUGGAAGAAUCCAUUCGACAUCCGAUGCCUGGCCUUCGUUCUUUGAACAUCGGAAGGCCUCGGGUACCAGGCUAUCUAUCCCGUAUACUCUCUGUAUACUUCCGCUUCUACUUGAUGGCUUUAACUUGUUGAAGAUUGUAUCGCUUAGGGGCAGCGAUUGCAAGAUAAAAACAAAUGAUUUUGGUUCUAGUCAUUAGGAAAAGCAUAGGAUCCACGUCUGGCCGAUUCAGUGUGUCCAAAAGCACUUUUCCUAAACGUUUGAAAAGAGCAUGAACUACAUUGAUCGACAUAAUGCCUGAUACUAUCAAAUGGCCCGACAUUGCGGUCAGGAUAAGUGAGACGCACAGAUUGCUACCAGUUACACCAUGCAAAUAGAUGAUGAUAACGACCGGUGAUCAAUCUCAUAAUUACCAUACAUAAUACAAAGUAGAGAGUAGGACAAACACGGACCCCCUGGAAACAAUUAAUAGAGGUGGGAUCAGGUACCUAGGAGGAGUAAGCAUCCCCUGUUGACCGGUCACACCCGCCGUCAGCCCUAUAUCUUAAUCAGAGACCUGGAGAACGAACACAAAUGUAAUGGUUCUACGGAAGUCACGACCAGGCUAGUAGAGAGGACCAGGAAUGGGACUGGUGAUAAAGAUGUUGAAAUAAAGCAGAGAUGGCGGCCAGGCCUACUGUCAGAAGACGAUACCAUCACCAAAAGUUCUAUGGACGGCAUCUCGUAUCUGAAUAUUUGCAAUACCUAUAUACAAUGUAUGGUAAAUGGAGGAAAUACAUGUAAUAAGGGCAACUGGACAGAAGCCAAUGGCGGGAUCAGGUAACUUAUGUGUAGGCACGCACACGAGGCGAACGAGUGGUAGGUGAAUUCACUCUCAUUAUAGAGAAGCUAUAGUAUUUUGAACCGUUCAUAUGAUAAGUAAGUUAGGAUAAUCACUUUACGUACAUCAGUAUUGUCUGAGUCUUGGUUUGAUGGACUGGGGAUGUUUAGAAACUUGUCUCUUCUGCAUAUUAAUGGAUGUGUACUUACUUUUUACUCAGGUCGAAAAAUGGCGAGGAUGAGGGGAAGUGCAGGUAAUGGUAAACUGGAUUUAGAAACCGAUAGAGAUCUUGGAUAAGCGAAACCUGCCUUUCUUUUUUCAUUCGAUAUAUUUCAUGGUGGAUUUUCUGACAAUUCUAAGAUAACCAACAAUUAUUCAUAGAUCUAACGUAAGUUAUCCACUUUAAUGCGGUGUCUGGAUUUAGGAGGGAUCGGCUAAGUUGCGGAAAGUUGUGACUUCUGUUUGUCACUGUGACAUACAUGUAGUCACGUGGUUUUCCUUCAAAUUCACUGAUGGAUACACAAAGAUAUUAUUUUCUCAGAGUAUUAAUCAUUGAUGUUUUAAGGAUUUUUGUAAGUAUACAUGUAUGUACAUUCAUUUUAUUCAGUAUGGUUUCUUCAGUAACUACAUAUAAUAUAAUAUACAGUUUAUUUUCUGUUGAAACGAGAGAGAGAGAGAGAGAGAGAGAGAGAGAGAGAGAGAGAGAGAGAGAUCGAAAGAUCUGUACCUUCCGUAUUCGUGGUGUGAUUAAUUGGGGAGGUGUUUUAACAAUCAUUAAUCAAAAACGCUGUUAAAGGAGUUGUAUUUGGUCUACAAAGACGAAAAAGUGGCUAAUACUCUUUUCAUUUUAAACUGCUUGCAUUUUAAAAAUCUUCUAUCAAAAUAAAGUACAUCAUUACAAGCAAUUACGAACAUGUGCGAGAAGUGGUGUGAAAAUUCCAAAGAACUCUUAGUACAUUUGAAUUCAAAAAAUGUUCUAAAAAUCAACAGCAUCAAAACGUACGACUGUUCAUCCUGUUAUAUACACCGCCAUUCCCCACGAUAAGUUAAAGACUAGGCUUUAUGACAUGACAGACAGAUGCUUCUUCGAUAUAAAUAGAACUCCGGCAUAUUAUAUCUUGUAACCUGUUUUAGUAUUCUUAUGAGGUAGACUUUAUUGAAGCAUUUGA
Molecule: long non-coding RNA, 2222 nt
Organism: Ostrea edulis (European flat oyster)
Lineage: Eukaryota; Metazoa; Mollusca; Bivalvia; Ostreida; Ostreidae
Exons: 4
Source: RefSeq, a predicted model, not a curated record